Molecule: unclassified non-coding RNA, 379 nt
Filed under: uncultured fungus
Lineage: Eukaryota; Fungi
Description: partial contains ITS1, 5.8S rRNA and ITS2
Source: RNAcentral
AACGCACAUUGCACUCCUUUGGAGUAUGCCUGUUUGAGAAUCUAUUGUAUUCAUUUUCUGUACUUUUUUUUCAAGAGUAUGGAAAGAUUUGAGGUUGUUUCUGAUGCCCGACUUGUUUUGGGGGGAAGAAUGCCUUUAAAUAGAUUAUCUGGUACGUACGACUUUGAAAUGUUUGACGUUUCUCGACAGUUUCCUGUACAGAAAAGUAUGUGAUUGGAACUUUACGGUUUAUCAUUAUGUUGAAUACGUGCGGGCAGAAGAAAAUAGUUUAAUGUUUUGAUGAUACUGUGUGCAUAACCUAAUAAAUAGAGAUGGGCUUUAUGCCUAGCUUUUUUUGAACCUUGGUCUCAAAUCAGGUAGGAAGACCCGCUGAACUUAA